This 6013-nucleotide long non-coding RNA is filed under the name Gallus gallus (chicken). Lineage: Eukaryota; Metazoa; Chordata; Aves; Galliformes; Phasianidae. The record is from RNAcentral.
CGCGCUGUACAGCGCCAUCGCAGCGGCCCAGUCGCCCCACGUGGACAGGAAAUGACGUCACUUCCGACUCAAGCCACGCCCCCGCGGCGGUCUUCCUGAACACGCCCACUGUGUUGCCCCGCCCCCUCCGCUGUGGCCCCGCCCCCCCCCGCCGCUCGCAGAGCACGGCUCGGGCAGCACAACCGCAGCUUUAUUGAGGACACGGGGACAGCGGCGCGGGGCUCCGCGCUGGGAGCUGUGCCGAGAGGGCCGCGGUGCUGCGCCCUACAGCUUGGUGGGCUCCUCCGCCGCGGGGGGCCCCUGGGAGUGCCGGCCGGCAGCGGGCACGGGCAGGAUGAUGGGAGGGGAGAAGGGCCCUCGCUCCGGCCAGCAUAGGUCCACGAUGGGGUAGAGCUGGCCCUGGAACUCCGCCUGGAAGGUGUAGAUGGGGCUGAGCUCGUCGGGGCUGUCGGCGUUGUAAAAGGUCAGCUCGCCCUUCUCGUAGUGCAGGUAGAUCCCGAUGCGCUGCGGCCGGGCGGUCAGCGGCAGCGUGGCCCGUGGGGUGCUGAAGGCCUCAUAGACUUUCCCUUCCUUGAGGCCGAUGAGCCACACGCCGUUCUCGGGAGACUUGCUGAGCUUCCCUUUGCGGCUGACUGUGCCCUUGAUGAUGCCCACGCGCCAGUGGUUCCUGGUGCCCACGAUCACCUCCCAGUAGUGCUGGCCGCAGGAGAAGCCCUUGCAGGUGAGGAUGCAGUUGCUGGAGUCAAAACGCUUGGGGUUGCUGUCCCGGCGCUGGUACAGCCCGCACUGCACCACCGUGUCACCCUUGAAGAGUUCCAGCAGGGGAUGUGCUGUCACCGGGUCCAGUUUCAGCAUCUCUGGAGCUAAAAGGAAAGCAGGCAGACUCCAGGAACGCUGCUGGGCGUACUGCUGAACCCAAACAGGCUGCUCAGACACCAGAGCAGGCGCUACCAGCAUGAGAUGCCGGACCAGCUGCUGCUCCUGGAGCUCUGCUGGAAGUGAGCAGAGCAAGGCAGAGGCCAGGACAGUGGUACGCUGGCUGGGCAGCUCGUCCUGGCUGGGGAAGCUGGUACCUGGCAGGACGUGGCGGUGCAGCCGCUUCCACACAGUCAUCUUGAUGUCAUCUUGGUGGAAACAAGGCUUGAAGGAUACGGGACUGAAGAUGGUAUCACCUGGGUGUAGGCUGGGAAGCUCUGACCUGAAAAGACAAGUGCAGCUAUGACAAAGGUUGAUGGGAACAGUGCCUGUUCUUUUCUCACCUUCUGCUGUGUAUGAUGGAGCCACUAGUGUGUCUGCAGCUGCUUAUGCCCUCUUCUGGGGCUGCAUGCAUGGCCCUGGCUGUGGCUUUCCAUCACAACAGCAAUGCCCACAGAACUGAGCAGGGCAGUGUGCCCACACCAGGCUGUCCCAGCAAUGCUGAGGUGCUCACUGGCCUACUUGCUGCUGUUCCCCUUGUUGCUGCGUGCUGCUGGGUCCCAUCACUCACCUGAACUGGUAGGAGCUGUAUUUCUGGAAAACACAAGAGAAAAAGUUAGUCAGUGGUGGUAGACUGACACGACAGCAGCUCCUCUGCAUGGUCACAGCUCCACACAUCCAUGUCCUGGGCCAGAGAGGCCGGGGCUCUCCUCUCCUGGGAGAUGUAUUCUGAUGGACAGCUCUCUGCCAUCUGGGGAAGCCCAUGCUGGACAGAAGGCACCUACAUCUCACACCUCUUGGUGUGCUAGCUAUGUUUGGUGUGGGUUCUCGCUGCCCAGGGAACGACCCAGGGCUAUGAGCAGUGGGCUGAUGGUGGGAGAGCCUGGCUGACCCUUGCCACCUUCCUGAGGCAGUCACUAGGGGGCACACUCACACGGAUGAAAUCAAGCUGACUUUCGUUGCCGAGUGUCUCCAGAAUGCUCUGCAUCUCCUUCAGCCUCUGCAGGGUGUCUGAUGUCUGCUUGACCUGAGACUCAAUGGAGGUGAUGAGCUGGGCUGCCUUCCCCUCCACGCUCUCCAGGAAGGUGGCCUUCUCCUCAUCGAUGUACCUGUGCAGCUCCUCAAACUCCUUCCGGAUCACCCACUUGAAGACAUCUGCCUCAUUCUGCAGGGAGACAGCAAGCAGCUCUGCAGGACUGCCUUGCUACAUUUCCUUCACCCACUUUCUAGUUUCAGAGAUGCCACUGGCAAAUUCUGUGUGCCCCAACAUGCUGCCCUGCAUUUGUCUUCCAAAUAAAGAGCAGCUCUUCAGAGAGGCAGGAUGUCAUUUCACCCUGCUGCCCUCAGCACCACGACACCACUGCCAUACAGCUCUCUCCAUCCAGUUUUUGUCUUGAUGUCCCAGCUAGCUUCAUUGGAGCCUUGAAAGAGCUUUUGGAUUCCUCUGCUACCAGGGAACAACCUUGGUCCUGCACUAAGUGGGGGGAAUUGCAGCUCCAGUUUCAUGUGGCUUCUAAGGAGCCCAAUUCAGAAGCUCAAGUCUCAAAAAGUGAUACUGAGAGGUCCCUUUGAGAUGUCUACUGCAUGGAAAAUGGGUACACAGCCAAAUGAAGUGUAAAUUCAUUGUGAAACUCUCAGCAUUCUGACUGGGAAGCCUUCUCUGAGCAAGGUGUUCUUCAUUUGUUAUCAUCUCCAAGGACGUGGUCAAACAAGCUCCUGCCAGGGUACUCAGUGAGGUUAUGUCACCCCUGCGGAAAACCCCACUGGCUUUGCCAUUGGAGAGGGCUAUGUCACCCAUCCUGAAAACAGGGCUAUUUUAAUCCCUAGUAUUCCUGGAGAACAGGAAUCUCGGGGAACAGUCCUGCUUACUGUCAUAGGAAAGGGAGAAAAGAGGGAUAGGAAUAGAGGAGGUGAUCUGAGGAAACCCAGGAGCAGAAAUUGCUCCAAGGGUUGUGUAGGAGGCAAAGAGCUCUGGGAAGCAGGCUCCUUUGGCACUUGGAACUCACCGCAAUGCGGAUUUUGUUGUUGAUGAGCUUGCUGAACAGUUCAUCCAGGUUCCUCUUGCACCGGUGGACAUCGGUUAGCAGCACAGACAGCUCCUCCUAGAAAGACAACAGCUGUCUUGAGGAGGAACCUUGUGGCAUCCUACUUGAUCGCAGGCUCUGGCCCUGUGCCUGCCAGCCCCCCAAGGAGCCCCGAGAAGCCAUGCUUUCCCAAGCUUCCUCUAUGGGGUUCUGUACAUCCUGCUGAUCUUGGUCUGACCUAGAGGAUUUGAGGGUGCCAGAGUCAGAAGAGCACUCAGAGCACAGCCCCGAGCUGGGCGCUGCUGGCCAAGUACUCUUGCCAGGAGUACUACACCUCCACUCCACAUCUGGCACCCCAUGAAAACAAUUCUCCAGGUGAGCGGCUGCAGCCAGCACCAAAUCUGCAACACCGUGUCAGUGCUGGUCCUGGAGCCUGGCUCAGGCAGGCACCUUCCUGGUGCCUCCUGUUCUUAUCGCCUUGGUGUCAGGAGCUGAGGGGAACAUGGCCCUGUGCUUUUCCACUCCUUGGGCUUUCAUGUGAUGUUGGGCAGGGAACGCCAGCUGUUUACUCUGCCAGCCCUUAUCUCCAGACUCCUUUUGAUGGUAUUUGUAAACAAUCUUGAAAGGCCUCUAUGACUCCCACUGAUCCUCAAGUCCUGUUCAAAAACACCGAAAACACGUCCCCUCAGCCAGGGACAUGCUUGGCCUGAGAAUUGGCUGGCCCCAGCCCAGGGUCCCUGCCCCACAUCUGUCUGUGCUAUGGGACCAUGCUGCCCACACUGGCACCAUUUUCAGCCUCUUUCUUGAAGGAGAGGAGAUGCUAGUACCGCCAUACUUGGGGCUGAGACUGCUACUACAGAUGUUCUAAUCCUCACCCCAGGGAGCCCUCACCACCCCUGUCUGCCAACCUUCAUCCGGCAGUAUGCGGUAGAAAUAGGGGUGAUCUUGUGCUGCUUGUGGUUGCCAAUUGUGCCGCACAGCCCACAGAUCACCUCUCGGUCAGCCUCGCAGAAGAGGCUCAGUGGAUUGUCGUGCGUUGGGCAGGAUUCUGGGGUGGGCUCUGUCUCGCCCCGGCUCUGCAGUGCCUCAAUGAUACGGGCCAGCGUGACGUUGGGUGGUGAAGCACUGCAGUCCACAGAUUUACGGCACACAGGGCACAGUAACUGCUCAUCCAGCUCUCCAGACAGUGACAGUACACAGGACUUGCAGUAGGAAUGCCCACACUGCAGCAUCAGGGGCUCCUUGAAGACCUCCAAGCAGAUGGGGCAGAGCAGCUGGUCCUCCAGAUUGUCAAUGCUCAUCUUCCGAGCCAUGCUGCCACCUUCCAGCAGCCCUAAUGCAAAGAACAAGGCAAACACAGAUGAGCAAAAACAGAGCUCAGCACCUGAGGAAGUGAAGAGACACCUCAAACGCCUUCAUGCCCCAUCAGCAGUUCAGACAGUUGUGAGCUUGUCAUUGGACUCCACAGAGAGCAUGAGAUGCUUGUUUUAAUCCGCAGUGUUCUGACAACAUGAGAUCGCACAUGGUCAGGACUGCUGGCUCUGCCUAUUAGUGGCAGAAGCCACCACCAAGCUGAUCCUCGUCUGGAACCUUUCUUUGCCUGGCAGCUGUGUCAGCCUGUAGGCCACUUCAAGGGAGAAGUGUCUGUGUGCCAGGACUUGGCAGGGCUGGAGACAGAGCCAAGAGGGAUCUUUGCUGAGAAGUUCUAGCACUGACCCUGGCCUGUAUGAAUUUUUGCAGAUCUCCUUGGCUCGCUGUCUCAGCCCCUGCAUGUCCUCAGAAGGACUGGCGUUAGCUCAAGUGAGCAAAAGCAGAGUGAAAUCACAAAGAGCAUGGUUAUCUCCAAGACAGGGAGAGAAACUACACACUACAACUUGCAAAGUUAAUUUUGACUGAUAUGAGGGUUGGGAGUUUGAGCCACAUUGUGUAGGGCUGUGACUUCAGUUUACCUCCUUGAAACUCAGUGUGGUUUCUGAUCACCAGACUCCAGGCCAGCACCCACAGGACACACAAGCCAAAAUCCCUGCAUCUCCCACCAGUCUUAUGGCCACAUGUGGCCAUUCUAUUUAAGAACCAUGUGGUUCAUGGAACUAUGUGGUUCAUGCAACAUUGGCUUCCACACAGCAUUGGUGGGACAUAACCACCAAGAUCUAGAGUAUCAUGGGCUCUGCUGCAGCCUGGACAGGUAGGGCAUCGCCACCCAGACAAGCAGCAAUGGGUGGCCCAGACCUGGAGGUGACCCUGCUCUAACUGUGACAGUCUGACAGUGUGUCCAUGUCUGCUCCUGAACAGAGGCUGUCAGAGAGCACAGGUCAGACCCUUUGUGGUCUCCCUGCUCACAUGGAGAUAAACCUGAAGUCAAAGACUUGGUAAUCUCCCCAGGGAAAGGGGAGGCUGUGACCUGAGCUCAGCUUUUAUGAGACAUUGCUUAUAGGAGCUCAACAGGGAAUCAAGAAAAGCGCCAUUGUUGGCCCAUGAAUGGUUAGCCACCCACAUGAGACUGCAUGGGGGAACCAGGUUCAGCUGCUCCCACUGUUCGCAAAGAAACCCCAUUAGGUCCGACUCGCCACCACUUACGUACCCUGUGCCGCCUCCUCUCUGCCCUGGCUUGGCUCUUCCUGGUGCACCACCCCUGAUGGAUGUCCCUCGGCUUCUCCUGACCAAGCUGAAGAGUUCAGCCCCGUCCGAAGGUCAGACGUGGCAAGCAGUGGGAUCAGCAGCCCCUCAAUGGGAUGAGGAGCAGUGCUGGCCACCUGGUGACUGCCCCACUGUGUCUUCAACCCCGUGGAGGCUACUCCUGCUUGCAAAGUGCUGCAGGAUCACCAGCAGUAUGCACAGCAGUGAGGCAGUGAGUCCUCCUGUUCUGCAGUCCACGUUGUGAGGACGGUACCACACCUCCUCCUGGCCCCCUGAAAGGCUGCCGAGUAAACUGGGCACCAGUACAAACACACAUCAUAUGACUACAGAACCUUGAUAAGAAAUGAAGGUGUUUGCCUAAUUGACGGGUGGUUUCGACGGAGUCCCACUCUGGUUUCAGUCAUCUACACCACUUGGAUCAAUGGAAACAUUUGCAC